GACGAACGCUGGCGGCGUGCCUAACACAUGCAAGUCAAGGCGGUAGCAAUACCGACUGGCGCACGGGUGCGGAACACGUAGGUAAUUUGCCCUUUAGGGGAGAACAACUCAUCGAAAGGUGAGCUAAAUCUCCGUAAUGUUUUACUAUGGCAUCAUAGUUCAACCAAGUUUUCUAAGGGAUGAGCCUGCGUCUGAUUAGCUAGUUGGUGAGGUAACUGCUCACCAAGGCUACGAUCAGUAGCUGGUCUGAGAGGAUGAUCAGCCACAUUGGGACUGAGACACGGGCCCAGACUCCUACGGGAGGCAGCAGUGAGGAAUAUUGCUCAAUGG
RNAcentral lists this ribosomal RNA (330 nucleotides) under uncultured bacterium. RNAcentral describes it as "bacterial SSU rRNA". It matches the Rfam family "Bacterial small subunit ribosomal RNA", at positions 28 to 374 of the family's 1533-position model. The record is from RNAcentral.